CUUUGCCUUUGCAAAGUUGGUAUCCGUUGCCGCGUUCGAUGCGGUAUCGGAUUAAAAAGGGAAUACCGUGUGAAUCGGUAACAGUAGCCGCUGCUGUAUUUUCCCCGUAUGACUAUGAUGUCAUGCAAUUUGUAGUACAAUGCCACUGGAUAUUACUUCUGGGAAGGCGCUACAAAUACGGGAAUAAGUCAGAAGACCUGCCUCCUUGCAGUUGGAUUU
RNAcentral lists this non-coding RNA (219 nucleotides) under Bacteroides reticulotermitis. The record is from RNAcentral. RNAcentral also lists the same sequence under 1 other name. Lineage: Bacteria; Pseudomonadati; Bacteroidota; Bacteroidia; Bacteroidales; Bacteroidaceae.